UCUCGCGAGAUGAGACUUGUGACGCUGAUGUAUUCUGUCUGCAGGAGCUGGCCGGCAGGAGCCCAGGAGCUAUACAUUUAAACUGCGAUCGGGGAGAUUUCAACAGCGAUUCCGGAGUGCAAGUUGUCUUAUGAAAAGCGGGACAGUGGCGGUACUGUUGGUCGGUAUGGAGAUGCUGUAUACCGGGGACUUAACGCCAACAGGCUACUACUCACAGGUGAUUUAAUCACACACCAUGCUGCACCACAUUCCUGUGCCCUUCAGCAGAUGGCAGUGCAAGAAAAAAAAGGGUUUUCUUCCAAUCGCCUGAAGGAUGAACCAUUCUUUAGAAAAUUCCAUUCCCUAUGAAGAUUAUUUGAGGAUGAAAGCCCAAACCAUACCGCCACAUCGUAUGAAAGAGUUUUUGGACUCUCUUAGUGGUAAAGGAAGUGAGGAAAUGCAGCAGUUUGUACAUUCUCCGAUUUCAGUAUAUCCGCAACGGAAUCAUUAUUUUUACAUGGACAGCACAGAUGUGGCCGGUUCUUUGUUGGAGCUGGCAAGGCCUAUUGCAUCUCCUUUGCAGCAUACUACAGUUAGCCCUGGCGUUCCUCUCGAUCAGCAUCACAGUCCUGUUCACCAUGUUUCACUACGGCAGGGUCACCAUGUGGAUAUUCAGCCGAAUCAAUCUGCUAAGCCUAUGCAGCAGCAAGUAGAAGGGCAGCCCGUUUCUGAAGAACAAAGUUCUAGCAUUGCUGGUUCAUCUAACACACAAGAUAAACGAUCAUGCUUAACAGGAUUAUCUCAACCAGUGAAGAAAAGAAAAUUUGACUUUCCAGUUGAAAACUACUAUCCUGUAAAUCAUGCAUCCUUACAGAGUGUGUCUGCUGCUGCAGUACUGGCAUUACCUGUACAGAGCCAGCAACAGGCCUAUAUUCCACUUCGCCAAGAGCUGCUAACUGUGGAUAGUAGCCAGUUGUAUGGGCUAGUACCAGCUAGUACAUCAGCCUCUGGUCAGUUGCCCAACGUUGAAUCGUGGGCAAUAUUUUCUACACAUGCAACAUGUCCUGAGUCUCAGACUAAUAUGCAUACCUCUGUUCCUCAGGACUCCUGUGGGAUUGUCCAAAUGGGAGAGAUUCCAAUGACUAUAAGUAGCAUCAAGGUAGAAGAAAGUAAAGAGAUCUUUGAAGCAAAAAAAACCAAUACAGAGAAAACUGUGCAUGCUCCAGGCACUUCAGGCUUCCCUAUGCAGUUGAUAAAUAUGAAUGGGAAUAUCCCAAUGUCUUUGUCUGUACAGAGUACAGGAAGAGGGUAUCAACCAUCAAAAUACUGGGAUCAACAAGUUCAGUCUGAAGGCCUACAGAGCUCUCCAACUGAACCUCACCUACGUUUGCAGAAUAAUGCAGAUUUUCCAUGCACCCUCAAGCCCGAGGAAGGUGCUUUAUUUUGGAAGAGUUGGGCACAGAUAAAAAAUGCGGAAACCAUGAAGGAAAUGGAAAACAAGUUGCCAUGUUCUGAAAGAAGAAAACCAAUCCUUUUUAAGGAAGAUAUUCUUUCAGUGCCAAUAGCAGAUUUAAAUUACGGACUGUGCCUAAUGACCAAAGAGGCUAGAAAACAUGAUGGUUCUUCUUAUGAUGCUGAUAUGUUGUUCUUUUUAUUUCUGUGUAUGCAAAAGCACAUGUUUGACAACAACAGAAUCGAUAAUGUCUUUGCUGACCUUUACUAUUCCAAGUUUUUGGAAAAACUUCAUGAAGUACUUAAGGAGUGGUGCCCAAGAGUAAACCCAUUUGGUUACAUCAUAUCCAGUUAUAUCACUGAAGAAAUGUUAUGGGACUGUAAACAACUUGGUGCUCAUUCACCAACUACUCUACUUUUCACACUGAUGUAUUUUAACACUAAGUAUUUUAUUUUAAAAACUGUAGAACAGCAUUCACAGCUGGCUUUCUCCAAAAUAACAAAGCAGACCCGGAAGAAUCCCGGAAUCGGAAAAGAUAAGAACUGCACGAUACGUUUUCUGCGGUUGUAUGGUCAAGUUCAGAGUGGUUUGAAAGUUACUGAAGAAACCUACGUGGAACAACUUGAAAACCCAGAUAAUCCACUGCAGUGUCCCAUCAAGUUAUAUGAUUUCUAUCGCUUUAAAUGUCCACAAGGAAUGAGGGGACCAACAGAUGCCUUCUACUUAGUUCCUGAACCAGUAGUAGCCCCAAACAGCCCUAUCUGGUAUUCUGGACAGCCUGUAAAUAAGGAAGUGAUGGAGCAAAUGCUAACCCGAAUAUUACUGGUUAAAGAUGUCCAGGAAGCACAUGCUGCUUCCCACAUUUCUGCAUAUUAAUUCACCUGCCUGUGUAACAAUGUUAUAAGAAAGAAAUGCGUAUACACUUUAUUUGUAAAGCAUGAUGAACUAUAGCUUAUGUACUUUUCUGUACUUUAUUCCACAGGAAAAGCUGAUUGCUUUGAGUAUACAAAGCAUUUACUGACCACAAUAUAUGUUCAACUUUUUGCAAUGUACAGAAAGCACAUCGAUUUAGUAUGUUUUGAUCUAAUUUAUGCUUCCUCUGUCCUGAUCACUCUAUAACUCUGUACGUACAGGGCUGAAAUCACACCCGUAUAUAAAUAUAUAUAUAUAUGGAGUAGUUACACUCCGGCUUAAUCGUUUGAUUUUGUUUUUUUUUUUGUAAAUAUUUUGCUUAGGUAUCUUUACAUAAAACAAUUACACAAUAAGGUCAACCCUUAAGGUCUUCUAAUUCUAAAAUAUGUACUGUAUCAUGUGAAAGACUUUAUGUAUGGGAUUGUUCAUUGGUAACAAGUGCUUAAUUUGUAUACUUUAUAAAUCUGUUUAGUGCAAUGCAGCCAUAAACAUGUUCUUAAUGAAACAUGCUAAUAAGAUGGUACUGUUUUUCCUUUAUAAAGGAUAAUGCUUCCAUGAGAUACAAUCAAGGAUGCCAAACUGAAAAAUGUCAUAUAUAGACAUUAAAAAAUUUUUUUACUUUUUUUUUUUAAUUAUGUUGAAAUUGUAGUCACGGGAAGCGUCAAGUUUUUUGGAACAUUUCCAGAGUUUGUGUUUUUGAUGUUGUGAGUGUAAUUCGUGCCUAAGGAAAAGGUCACUAGAAAUUUGACUCGUAUCUGUCCGCACCUACUUUUAUGCAUGCACAGAGGAAUUGCACAUCAUGCUGAGAAAACUAUACAACCUUACCUCAAAUCCAGUUAGGUUGUGCCUUAAAACAAUCCAGGCACUUGCAUUUCUUUCAACAGUGACUGUAAUGUAACCUUUGAUUGUGUUUUUAGUAAGUUCGCUUUUACAGGGAGAUAUUGUAUAUUUUCACAGAAAACUCAACAUGGAAAUCACUGAAUAAUAGGAGAAAUGAGUGUUCUAAUCUGAUGUAUGCUAGAUUUCUGACUUCUUUGUUAUUUAAUACAGACUGAGCACUAAUUUUCAUUUGAAAUAAAACUGAAAUGGAUUGGA
RNA transcript from Xenopus laevis (African clawed frog), 3439 nucleotides. It is a transcript of the gene named glutamine-rich 1 like L homeolog, with no coding region annotated. The record is from RefSeq and is a predicted model, not a curated record. Lineage: Eukaryota; Metazoa; Chordata; Amphibia; Anura; Pipidae. The transcript is spliced from 10 exons.